GACGAACGCUGGCGGCGUGCUUAACACAUGCAAGUCGAACGGUGAAGCGCCUUCCUUUUUGGUGGGUGUGGAUGAGUGGCGAACGGGUGAGUAACACGUGAGUAACCUGCCCCCUUCUUCUGGAUAACCGCAUGAAAGUGUGGCUAAUACGGGAUAUUCUGGGUCUGUCGCAUGAUGGGUCUGGGAAAGAUAUUGUUUCGGUGGGGGAUGGGCUCGCGGCCUAUCAGCUUGUUGGUGGGGUGAUGGCCUACCAAGGCGGUGACGGGUAGCCGGCCUGAGAGGGUGGACGGUCACACUGGGACUGAGACACGGCCCAGACUCCUACGGGAGGCAGCAGUGGGGAAGAUUGCACAAUGGGCGCAAGCCUGAUGCAGCGACGCCGCGUGAGGGAUGGAGGCCUUCGGGUUGUGAACCUCUUUCGCCAGUGAAGCAGGCCUGCCUCGUUUGUGGGUGGGUUGACGGUAGCUGGAUAAGAAGCGCCGGCUAACUACGU
This 493-nucleotide ribosomal RNA is filed under the name uncultured bacterium. Its description in RNAcentral is "partial 16S ribosomal RNA". It matches the Rfam family "Bacterial small subunit ribosomal RNA", at positions 28 to 506 of the family's 1533-position model. The record is from RNAcentral.